GCUAACGUGGCAGAGACCGGUAAUUGCAAAAGCUCUAAGACCUUUUUUCCGGGGGUUCAAUUCCCCCCGCUAGCU
This 75-nucleotide transfer RNA is filed under the name Leptobrachium boringii (Emei moustache toad). Its description in RNAcentral is "tRNA-Leu". It matches the Rfam family "tRNA". Rfam says of the family: Transfer RNA (tRNA) molecules are approximately 80 nucleotides in length. Their secondary structure includes four short double-helical elements and three loops (D, anti-codon, and T loops). The record is from RNAcentral. Lineage: Eukaryota; Metazoa; Chordata; Amphibia; Anura; Megophryidae.